This 1842-nucleotide long non-coding RNA is filed under the name Monodelphis domestica (gray short-tailed opossum). RNAcentral describes it as "lncRNA (ENSMODG00000046861.1)". The record is from RNAcentral. Lineage: Eukaryota; Metazoa; Chordata; Mammalia; Didelphimorphia; Didelphidae.
GGACCCAAGAAAAAUUAUAAGUUAAUUCUGCCAGAUAAACACUUGCAGAGCCCCAUCACACACACACACACACACACACACACACACAAUGUAAGGAACCCUGAAGCUUGUUAUUCUUGGAAUUAUUGUCAAAUUUUGAUCGCUAUCCAAAUGAAGAAUGAAGACUAUCUGUCCACUAAUACUAAAAAGGAACACUAUUCACUAUCACAUGAAUGUCAUAGUUGCUGGGCAACAAGAAAUCUUUCAGUGUCUGGGAAGGCCUCAUGUCCACAUUGCACCCAAAUGCUCACCAAUCUCUUAAUGAAACAAUUUCCUCUUUUAAAAAUUUUGGUUUUAUCUCUUCCACUUUAUAUUUCCAGAUUACAUAGAUAAAAAAUUUUAACAAUCAUUUUUUAACAUUCUGAGUUCCAAUUUUUUCCCUUCAUUCCACCCCACCCACACUUGAGAAGACAAGCACUUUAAUUUUGUUGAUACAUAUGAGGUCAUGCAAACAUCAUUUCCAUAUUGGUCAUGUUGCAAAAGAAAACACAAGCAUAAUAAAAAUGUUUUUUUAAAGAAUACACUGAUUUGCAUUCUGAGUUCAUCAGUUCUUUCUCUGGGAGUAGAUAGCAUUUUUUUUUAUCUUGGGUCCUUUGGAACUGGUUCAAUGUCCUUUUCUUUUUUAAAUUUUUUAUUGUCAUUCAAAGUACACUUCCAUAUUGGUCACUGUUGUAAGAGCACACUCAUACAGAACCAAAACCCCAAAAUAAAACUGUAAAUACACUGAUGUGAAAUUUGACUCCAACAGUUCUUUCUCUGGAAGUGGAUGGCAGUCCCUAUUAAUGCCUUUCAGAAUUGUCCAAGAUCAUCGCAUUGCUGCAGUGACAGUGAAUCAUGAACAUUUUCAGGGCUUACCAAGCUGUCAAGGCCCUGAGUCCAAAGCCAGACUGUCUUCUGAGAAUCACUCUAACCUCUUCCAGCAGCCUGUUCAAGAAGUCUCUCUCCUCAAGCUGGUAUCUCACAGGGCCAGAUAUCUUGUAGAUGGUGGAAAUUUCAGCUACCUCCAAAAGCCUCAGCCAGAAGACUCUUUUUGGUUGGAACCACACCCCCUUGGAACCUAGACCCAGGCUCUCACGUGAUUCUGAGUCACAUGCUCCUGCCAAUCAUUUUGCAGUCUGUCUGCUUACUACACUUUGAACUCAAAUUCAUUGACUCAAGGACCAGAGGUCUAGCCAUUUCAAGGUCUCAAGAGCUGAACUGUUAAGUACUAUUGCCCAAGACCUGAGUGUGGAGAGAUCUAUCAUCAAAUUAGCUACAGAGCAAUGAUUUUUAAAAAUAUUUAUUUAUUUGUUAUUUGUUCAUUUAUUUAUUUGUUUACUUAUUUUUAAGCCACAACAACUCUAAAAGAUGAUCUAUUAAAUUAAAGCAAGGUCUAAUCUAUGUUGGGGAUGAGAGUAUUCACAGCAACAAAAUUUUGACUUCUUAAAUCUUCAAUGAACAGCUAUAGACGCUACGAUCCAAUAAGUCUGUACAAUUGCACAUGUGUGAUGAGACCUGAAAAGAGAACACAGUCUAGAGCAGGCAGGCUAGAGUUGGGCUGAAGCAUGUCUGUGAAGGAUAUAUAACCUAUAAUUCUGCCCUCUGGCCACUGAGCUUCUGUACAAAUCCAAUGAACAAAGAUGGCCACUGCUUAUCUCUCUUACCAGCAGCUACACAGCUGCAGAACAAAUUGCCUCCAGCUGCUAAGGCAUCCUUACCUCCCUGGGGUCUAGUCUUAGUCAGCUGCAAGAAUACUGACCUAGACAAAAGGGAAGGGCAGACCCUUCUUAGACCUUACCCAGAUGAGGAUGCUACUCGAUUCUG